This 253-nucleotide ribosomal RNA is filed under the name uncultured bacterium. Its description in RNAcentral is "partial 16S ribosomal RNA". It matches the Rfam family "Bacterial small subunit ribosomal RNA", at positions 524 to 776 of the family's 1533-position model. The record is from RNAcentral.
UACGUAGGGGGCAAGCGUUGUCCGGAAUUAUUGGGCGUAAAGCGCGCGCAGGCGGUCAUUUAAGUCUGGUGUUUAAUCCUGGGGCUCAACCCCGGGUCGCACUGGAAACUGGGUGGCUUGAGUACAGAAGAGGAGAGUGGAAUUCCACGUGUAGCGGUGAAAUGCGUAGAUAAUGUGGAGGAACACCAGUGGCGAAGGCGACUCUCUGGGCUGUAACUGACGCUGAGGCGCGAAAGCGUGGGGAGCAAACAGG